AUUUACUAUAUUAUGCCGGUUCUUCUAUCGGUUGAACUUUAUCAACUUUAACCUCAGAGGUAUUAGUUUCUUCCUCAAGAAACUUCUUUUUCAAAAAGACUGUCCUAUUACUGACGAACAUCUUUUGUUCAUCAGCAAGGUAGAAGUAAUACCCCUUAGUUUAUGUUGAGUACCCUAUAAAUAGACACUUGUCAGAUCUAAAUCUGAGCUUGUCUAUUUUCAAACAUUUGACAUAACUCGGAUAACCCCAAACCCCA
This 257-nucleotide long non-coding RNA is filed under the name Elaeis guineensis (African oil palm). Its description in RNAcentral is "long non-coding RNA (EGUI_LNC003253)". Lineage: Eukaryota; Viridiplantae; Streptophyta; Magnoliopsida; Arecales; Arecaceae. The record is from RNAcentral.